CUUGACACCCAUAAGAGGUCCAGCCUGCCCAGUGACUCUGUUCAACGGCCGCGGUAUCCUAACCGUGCGAAGGUAGCGUAAUCACUUGUUCUUUAAAUGAGGACUAGUAUGAAUGGCACCACGAAGGUUAUACUGUCUCCUUUUUCUAAUCAGUGAAACUAAUCUUCCCGUGAAGAAGCGGGAAUAAAAAUAUAAGACGAGAAGACCCUAUGGAGCUUUAAACAAACAUACAAUUGCCUUCUUUUAUGAAUAUUUCAGAAGAAAACUUUUAUUUAGGCAUUUUGAUAUAGAGUUUUAGGUUGGGGUGACCACGGAGUAAAAAACAACCUCCGCAAUGAAAGGGGCUCUUCCCCUAAGCUAAGGGUAACAACCCUAAGAAUCAAAAAAUUGACACCAAUUGACCCAAUAUACUUGAUCAAUGAAC
This 424-nucleotide ribosomal RNA is filed under the name Leptodactylus longirostris group sp. ABGD cluster 24. RNAcentral's name for it is "partial large subunit ribosomal RNA". It matches the Rfam family "Bacterial large subunit ribosomal RNA", at positions 1835 to 2457 of the family's 2925-position model. Lineage: Eukaryota; Metazoa; Chordata; Amphibia; Anura; Leptodactylidae. The record is from RNAcentral.